GGGGGUUUUGAGCCCCUUAGUGCAGGCUCGGGUCCUGUCUUUCUA
Molecule: transfer RNA, 45 nt
Filed under: Plestiodon multivirgatus
Lineage: Eukaryota; Metazoa; Chordata; Lepidosauria; Squamata; Scincidae
Description: partial tRNA-Gln
Source: RNAcentral